UUUCUGAGAUACCUAUCCAUAACACAAUGGUUUGAGGAUCUGAAUGAUGUAAUGUCAAAUAAUCCAAAUUUAGAGACAUUUGUUGUUUCCGGUAAUGGAGCACCAACGGUCCAUUUGCCAUCCAGUGUUUGGAAGCCACCAUACUUAAAGCAUCUCGAACUUGGAAAUUCAUAUAUGGUAGAUCCUCCAUGUGCAGAUAAAACGAAUUUACAAACAUUAUCUUGGGUGGUGAGACCACUUCAUUGCAGAAAACAGGUGUACAGCAAGUUCCCUGACAUAAAAAAUCUGAAAAUUUUGCUGAAGGAUGACAUAGAGUCCAGUCACAUUGGAGGAAGGUGCAGCAAUCCUAUUAUUUUGGAUCAUUUUGACUAUUUGAAAGCGGUUGAGAAGCUUAGCAUUUCGGUUUCUAUUGGUUGCAAUGCUGCCCUUCCAGAACAGUGUAUGUAUCCUUCAGGACUGGAGAAGUUGAAGUUGAGUGGGACUAAUAUUUCUGAGAGGGAUUUAAAUGUAAUUGCCAUGUUACCCCAGCUUAAGGUGCUCAAGUUGGAAAAUGCCUUCCAUGGAACAGUAUGGGAAGUAGCUGAAGGAGGAUUUCGUCAAUUAACAUUCUUGCUCCUUGAAGCUAAAGAACUCAAGCAGUGGGUAGCUAACUUCCGUGAACACUUUAAGGAGCUCCGAAACUUAGUCUUAAGAUCUUGUAAUUGUUUGGAACAGAUGCCAAAGGGUUUUACAGGUUACAAGUUGGAGUCAAUUGAGUUGGAGGGGUGUCACUCUUCCCUUGUUGCUUCUGCCAUGCAGUUACAACAGAAGAGAAGAUCCAAGGAUCUUGAGAUCAAAAUUUUGGACCCUAAAUACGAUGAAUCACUAAAUACACAUACACAUACAGAGGUGUCUAUGUAAGAUGACUUGGGCAGCCUCAUAGGAUAUACCUAUUAGAAAAUGAGUAUCCAGAAGUUGGUAAUAGAUGGUACUAAAACAUGGGCUCAAGAGCUUUCUGUCAAACACAGUGGUUGACUUUUUAUCACCAAACAUUGUGAAACAGAUCUAAUUUUGAUGUUCCGUACGUCUUUUUGAAGAAAUCAUGUUGGUGACUGGGGCAAGCUGCCUGCCAAGCAGAUUGGUAUAUGCUAAUUGAAUACCAUUUUGAAAAAUUGUCAAGCUAGGAAGCUGGCUGGAAGCUGCUAGUCUCAAGUAUUGAAGAUCUAGAGUGUAAACAGGGUAGUGAGGAGAGUUUGAAAAGGUUUACCAGUGACUUGGAGAAUGGCUUCUAUGGAAAAGUAUGGAAGAGUUGCUUUGGUGUUUAACAGACAUUUUGAGCCUGCGGUCAAUUAAGUUGGAUCAGUUGUUGCUUUUGCUAAGCAGAUUUGAGACUGGCAAGUUGAAAUGGGGAACUGCAUUUUUGAGAUCAAAAUCCCUGAAUAUGAUGGAUCACAGAUAGAAGAGUCUGUACUAGGCGACUUGAAUUGGUCUGGCUCACAGUGAAUUAAAAUGAUAAUUGAAGGUUACAAAUGAUAAUUGCUCUUGAUUGACAAACAAAGUUUUAAUGGAAAAAUCAAGACUUGAAGAAUGUAUAGUGAUUUGAGGGGAUUUAGUUUUUCUAAGAUACCUAUCCAUAACACAAUGGUUUGAGGGUAUGGAUGAUGUAGUGUCAAAUAAUCCAAAUUUACAAACACUUGGGGUUGCUUUUAACAAUGAAUCACAAUUUGGAGCCACAACUGUGCAUUUACCAUCCAGUAUUUCGGAGGCACCACGGUUGAGGCAUCUUGAUCUUGACAAUAUGUGGAUCCUCCAAGCAUGGUUAAAGAGAAUUUGCAAUCAUUAUCUUGGAUGGUCAGACCAAUUCAUUGCAGAAGAGAGGUGUAUCACAACUUACCUAACAUAAAAAAAAAAAAAAAAAAAAAAAAAAAAAAAAA
Ipomoea nil (Japanese morning glory) is the source of this 1913-nucleotide RNA transcript. It is a transcript of the gene named putative late blight resistance protein homolog R1B-13, with no coding region annotated. The record is from RefSeq and is a predicted model, not a curated record. Lineage: Eukaryota; Viridiplantae; Streptophyta; Magnoliopsida; Solanales; Convolvulaceae. The transcript is spliced from 7 exons.